UGGGGAAUAUUGGGCAAUGGGCGCAAGCCUGACCCAGCAAUGCCGCGUGAAGGAAGAAGGCCCUCGGGUUGUAAACUUCUUUUAUCAGGGACGAAGGAUGUGACGGUACCUGAUGAAUAAGCUCCGGCUAACUACGUGCCAGCAGCCGCGGUAAUACGUAGGGAGCAAGCGUUAUCCGGAUUUACUGGGUGUAAAGGGCGCGUAGGCGGGAUGGCAAGUCAGAUGUGAAAUCCAAGGGCUCAACCCUUGAACUGCAUUUGAAACUGUCGUUCUUGAGUACUGGAGAGGUUGACGGAAUUCCUAGUGUAGCGGUGAAAUGCGUAGAUAUUAGGAGGAACACCAGUGGCGAAGGCGGUCAACUGGACAGCAACUGACGCUGAGGCGCGAAAGCGUGGGGAGCAAACAGGAUUAGAUACCC
Molecule: ribosomal RNA, 418 nt
Filed under: uncultured bacterium
Lineage: Bacteria
Description: bacterial SSU rRNA
Rfam family: Bacterial small subunit ribosomal RNA
Source: RNAcentral